Long non-coding RNA from Betta splendens (Siamese fighting fish), 1743 nucleotides. RefSeq lists it as uncharacterized. The transcript has 2 exons. The record is from RefSeq and is a predicted model, not a curated record. Lineage: Eukaryota; Metazoa; Chordata; Actinopteri; Anabantiformes; Osphronemidae.
UGAAGGAGAGAAAGGGCGACAGAGAGGAGGAGGAGGAGGAACGGGGGGAGGAGUGAGUGAGCCAGUCAUGGCGGGUGGCGACACAGUUCCCUCUGCUCUCCAUCUGCUGUGGGCGCACUGGUCAAGAGUGCACUGGGGGAGAGGGCGAGAACUGGGGCUGGAGUCCGGGGACGGCCGCCGGAGCUGGAAGUGGGGAACGGGGCCAGAGCCGGAGGACGUGUUUAACAUGUCGGCUGGACAUGGGCCAGAUGCUCCGUUUCCAGGAGGGCGUUGCUGGACCAGAGGCACACUGAUGCUGCCAGGUGACGCCGGCCUUAAAAAUACAGCCAGCACUGUUUAAUCAUCUGGUUCCAGCAAAACUCCCCAGGUCACUUUCUGUUGUCCCUGUGAUGAUCCGACGUGUUUCCGACAGGGAAGAGCUGCGGCCGUGAUGCUGAGCCUGGAGGAACUCGCUGAUGCGAUCGCUCCCUUCUCACUUGUUCCUAACCUAACGCGAUGCCAGGUUAUCCCCUAAGCUGUUCAUCCACCGAUACAGAGCCAGAAAUCAACAGCGGAUGAGACUGAGCGGGAUCAAAGCAUCCUUGUUGUUCUCCGGCUUUGUUCGUGGCACUCUGGGUAUUUACAGCUGACUGGCAACAUCACCUUCUUUCAUGCUUAUUACCAUUUGUUUUCAUGUCUGUUAACAGAGGUCACAAUAAAUGCUGACAGGCCUGAUGUCGCUGUGAUUCAGCGCGCUCACAUAUCCCCACGGGGACCUAGCGUUCAUUGUUUUAGACUUAGCCUAAUUACAAAAAGCUGUAUGAAUAAACACGCAGCACGGACAAAUAAGUGCAUGAUCCCAUCAAACAAUUACAAACUUUUACACAUUCAGAUGUAAUCCCAAACAUGUGUACGUGGCAGACACUGGGCCUGUUUAAAGCAGACUCUGCAGGGGCUAAGCUAAGGUCUAAAGCAUGUUAUUCUAUGGUUGAACGGUGCAGAGCAGCAGCAACUAUGACAUUUUCAAAACCAGAUCAAAUCCUGCACAAAUGUCAUCGUGGCAUUAAAGUUGUCAGGUUUAUUGUUUAUGAAGCUGUGGCGAGUAAUCAUGCAAGCAUUGUGUGCAUCAAAAUGAAAACUUUUUGUUAUAAAAUCUGAUUAACAAGCUGCUAUAAAGUCGACCUGCGAACAUUAUGAGCAAAGCGGGAUCCGUUCCUCUGCUUCGUUUGGAACCUCCACUUACUCCCAGCGUUGUUCUUUGUUUCAUGGAGACUUUUCAUCACAAUUAUUAUUAACGCGUCCUCAUCCCUCGUCCUCGCUUCUCCUUCUCUCAGCGGGAGACACACAGGACAAAAAGGAGCGGAGGACGAGGGAGAGAGGAAUCUAAAAAUAAGCUAGUGAGCGAGGAAGACAAACGAGGCAGGGUUCUGAAGCAGUCAGAGGACGGUGCAGCGUGGCUGCGCUUUGCAUACGUGUACAGACAUCUGCCUGCGCAUCUGUCUGAGUGCGCGUCUCUGUCUACCGUGCACACUCCAACGUAAGCCCAUUAACGCGGCUGUGUCGCUACGAAACGCGGCGGCGACGCCAGUCAGGAGGAGCAGACACACACUUUGUGCUCACACUUGUGUUAAAUAAGGCCUGAGGCACACGCUUCAGCUGAGCCACCGGUUCACGCCGUGUGUGUGUGUGUGUGUGUGUGUGUGUGUGUGUGUGUGUGUGUGUGUGUGUGUGUGUGUGUGUGUGUGUGUGUGUGUGUGUGUGUGU